AGUGAACGCUGGCGGUAGGCCUAACACAUGCAAGUCGAACGGCAGCACAGUAAGAGCUUGCUCUUACGGGUGGCGAGUGGCGGACGGGUGAGGAAUAUAUCGGAAUCUACUUUUUCGUGGGGGUUAACGUAGGGAAACUUACGCUAAUACCGCAUACGACCUACGGGGGAAAGCAGGGGAUCUUCGGACCUUGCGGGAUUGAAUUAGCCGAUGUCGGAUUAGCUGGUUGGGGGGGUAAAGGCCCAGCAAGGCGACGAUCCGUAGCUGGUCUGAGAGGAUGAUCAGCCACACUGGAACUGAGACACGGUCCAGACUCCUACGGGAGGCAGCAGUGGGGAAUAUUGGACAAUGGGCGCAAGCCUGAUCCAGCCAUACCGCGUGGGUGAAGAAGGCCUUCGGGUUGUAAAGCCCUUUUGUUGGGAAAGAAAAGCAGCAGGUUAAUACCCCGCUGUUCUGACGGUACCCAAAGAAUAAGCACCGGCUAACUUCGUG
This 492-nucleotide ribosomal RNA is filed under the name uncultured bacterium. Its description in RNAcentral is "partial 16S ribosomal RNA". It matches the Rfam family "Bacterial small subunit ribosomal RNA", at positions 29 to 507 of the family's 1533-position model. The record is from RNAcentral.